This 497-nucleotide ribosomal RNA is filed under the name uncultured bacterium. RNAcentral's name for it is "partial 16S ribosomal RNA". It matches the Rfam family "Bacterial small subunit ribosomal RNA", at positions 36 to 507 of the family's 1533-position model. The record is from RNAcentral.
UCCUCCCUCUGGCGGCGUGUCUAAUACAUGCAAGUAGAACGCUGAAGAGAGGAGCUUGCUCUUCUUGGAUGAGUUGCGAACGGGUGAGUAACGCGUAGGUAACCUGACUUUUAGCGGGGGAUAACUAUUGGAAACUAUAGCUAAUACCGCAUAACAAUUGCUGACACAUGUCCUUUAUUUGAAAGGGGCAAUUGCUCCACUACAAGAUGGACCUGCGUUGUCUUAGCUAGUCGGUGAGGUAAUGGCUCACCUAGGCGACGAUACAUAGCCGACCUGAGAGGGUGAUGGACCACCCUGAGACUGAGACGGAGACAAGACUCAGACGGGAGCCAGCAGUAGGAAUGAGUAAGAUAGGGGGGCGAGCGUGACCGUGAAACGGCGAGUGAGUGAAGAAGGUUUCCGGAUCGUAAAGCUUGGUCGUCAGUUAAGAACGGAUGAGAGAGUGGACAGGUGACACUGUGAAGGUAGCUUAUGAGAAAGGAACGGCUAACUACGUG